Molecule: long non-coding RNA, 2468 nt
Organism: Esox lucius (northern pike)
Lineage: Eukaryota; Metazoa; Chordata; Actinopteri; Esociformes; Esocidae
Source: Ensembl
CGGGGCAAAGACGGGCAAAGAACCCUGCAGCGGCCCCGGGGCAAAGACGGGCAAAGAACCCUGCAGCGGCCCCGGGGCAAAGACGGGCAAAGAACCCUAUAUUGAUCCCUGUCCAAAGAUUGACGACGAACCCUGCAGCGACCCCGGGGCAAAGUCCGGCAAAGAACCCUGCAGCGACCCCGGGGCAAAGGCGGGUAAAGAACCCUGCAGCGACCCCGGGGCAAAGGCGGGUAAAGAACCCUGCAGCGACCCCGGGGCAAAGGCGGGUAAAGAACCCUGCAGCGACCCCGGGGCAGAGUCCGGUAAAGAACCCUGCAGCGACCCCGGGGCAGAGUCCGGUAAAGAACCCUGCAGCGACCCCGGGGCAGAGUCCGGUAAAGAACCCUGCAGCGACCCCGGGGCAGAGUCCGGUAAAGAACCCUGCAGCGACCCCGGGGCAGAGUCCGGCAAAGAACCCUGCAGCGACCCCGGGGAAAAGACGGGUAAAGAACCCUGCAGCGACCCCGGGGCAAAGAAUGAGACUCCACAACCCAGCAAUCCUAUAUACACUCCACUGAUUGAUUUUCUGAGGAGCAAGAACCGACAGGCAGUCGGUCUUAAAGCACUCAUAGAGUGUCAUUGUGAUGGGCUGCCGCUCUUCUACCUGUGCCAGGUGUGUAAGUGUAAAGUCCUGCAGAACUCGAUUAUCUCCCAUGUCACUGGAGACAAUCACCGACAAUUAUCCCUGUGGCCUAUGAAUACUAUUCCCAAACGCCACAGGAGGUUGAGGGCAGCUGCCUUAAAGCUGGAGAAGACCUUGGGAUAUGGAGAAUUUAAGGUAGCAGUGUUGAAUGCGCGAACAUAUCAUUCUAUUUCUACUAAUUCCAUUCCCUUCGACAUGAAGGUAAAGAUGGUCUUGUGUGAUCACUAUUCAAGUGACCCCCGAUAUUUCGUCAUGCCUCUAGCUAAGAAGCCUAAGCCCAAGCUGAAGAAAAACAGUAAUGUCAAAACUCUGGCCCUAGACUGCAAUGACGUGUGUUCUCCCGCAGCACCCGCUGGGAGAUUCCCUGCUCUGUGGCGCUACCUGCAGCAGUCCAACAGACAGCCUGUCAUUGGUGUUGGUAUGUUGACAGAGUUGACCGAACGAGAUGGUGACUACGUCCUGUGUGGAUGCUGUUCUCACAAGAUGUUUCCAUCCUCUGUCACCUCACACGUCAUCUCUUCCAGACACCGCUACUACUACAUAAGAAUGGCACAUCCUGAGCUGGCUGUUAAUUGGCCAGAAAGUCCAGCGCUGAUUGUGUAUAAUGGGCCUCUUCAAAGAGAGCUGAGAGUGCAAGCUAAAGAACUGGAGGGUCAGGAAGGACCUGAACAUCCCCAGGUGGUGAAAGAAACAUCUGCUACAUCGGGAGGUGGACCCACAACCUGCCCAGAAGAGGUUGUCGAACAGAUCCAGAUUCACUCCGCUCCUGUCUCUGUGGAAGAGGAACCGGUUAACUCAGAGCCAUCACAGCCCCUCGGAGAAAAGAAAAAGACGAGGAAUAGGGGCAAUCCUGUGGUUGGAGUGAACUUCCUGGUCCGGGUGUCUCACAGAAAUAGGAAACAAUACUACUGUCAGCUGUGCUCCGUUAGGGUGAAGCAUCCCGUUAUUGAUCACAUGACCAGCCUCCGCCAUCGACACAGCUAUGUGAAAUUGAAGUACCCCAGUUGGACCUCCGACUCAGAGGCAAAGCUGUUCAAGAUGGCUUUUCACCUGGAGAAGGUGGAUCGAAGCGCUGGACUGGGCAUGCAGAAAGUAGAAGUGGAUGCUGUUGAAUUCAAGGAUCUAAGGUCUUGCCCUGUGGAGGAAGCUCUCAGUAAACUGCAGGCCAUUAUCAUACAGCAACAAGAGCCAGGUGAUCUGAAGAUGCAUCCCUCAACCAAUCAGAACCCAGAAGAUCUGAGACAGACUGCUCCCUCAUUGAGACCUGUCAGUGCCCAAGGGCCAUCUAACGGAGACCAGGAACACCUACAAGUACCUGCCUCCUCUCUCCAGGAUCAGCCGUCCUUUGGCUCCACAUCUGUCCCCCUCUCAUCCUCCAGUCCUCCUUGCCUCUCUCCCUCAAACUCCUUCUCUGCCUCUCUCCCCGCAGUGUCCCUAUCUGCCUCAACCUCCCUUUCUUCCUUUGUUCCAUCCUACACUCCCGUUUUGUCCACUGAGAAGACGACUGACCCCUCAUCAGAUGUUGUCUCUGUCCCCGAUCCUGUCUGUGAUCCUGUCUCUGUCCCUUCACCCCUCUCCGCUCUAAAGAACCCAACACAUCUGAAGGACUGCGAGAGUCCAGAGUGGUGGGAGAGGAGGAGCCCAGAAAACAGAGAGACACUAAUGCUUCUGGAACUCCCAGACAAACAGACGGAGUACGCGGCGGGAGACCGGCUGACGGAGUACGCGGCGGGAGACCGGCUGACGGAGUACGCGGCGGGAGACCGGCUGACGGAGUACGCGGCGG